This 29-nucleotide non-coding RNA is filed under the name Mus musculus (house mouse). The record is from RNAcentral. Lineage: Eukaryota; Metazoa; Chordata; Mammalia; Rodentia; Muridae.
UUCCAGUUCAAUGGAAUGUUUGUUGUAGC